AACGAACGCUGGCGGCGUGCCUAACACAUGCAAGUCGUGCGAGAAAGUUCCUUCGGGAGCGAGUAAAGCGGCGCACGGGUGAGUAACACGUAGGUAACCUGCCCCCCAGUCUGGAACAACUAGAGGAAACUACUAGCUAAUGCCGGAUGAGACCACGAUCCCUUCGGGGGUUGGCGGCCAAAGAUGGCCUCUACUUGUAAGCUAUCGCUGAGGGAUGGGCCUGCGGGCCAUUAGCUUGUUGGUGAGGUAACGGCUCACCAAGGCUGUGAUGGCUAGCUGGUCUGAGAGGAUGACCAGCCACACUGGGACUGAGACACGGCCCAGACUCCUACGGGAGGCAGCAGUGGGGAAUAUUGCGCAAUGGGCGAAAGCCUGACGCAGCGACGCCGCGUGGGUGAUGAAGG
This 404-nucleotide ribosomal RNA is filed under the name uncultured bacterium. RNAcentral's name for it is "bacterial SSU rRNA". It matches the Rfam family "Bacterial small subunit ribosomal RNA", at positions 29 to 414 of the family's 1533-position model. The record is from RNAcentral.